GGAACAGGACGUCACAGAGGGUGAGAAUCCCGUGCUUGGCUGGCUGUCCCCGUCCAUGUGAGGUGUCUUCGACGAGUCGAGUUGUUUGGGAAUGCAGCUCAAAAUGGGUGGUAAAUUUCAUCUAAAGCUAAAUAUUGGUGGGAGACCGAUAGCGCACAAGUAGAGUGAUCGAAAGAUGAAAAGCACUUUGAAAAUAGAGUUAAAAAGUACGUGAAAUUGUUGAAAGGGAAGCGCUUGAGACCAGACUUCGGUAAGGGGUGAUCAGCCGUCCUUUUGGGCGGUGCACUUGCCCCCCUCCGGGCCAGCAUCGGUUGAGGCGGCGGGAUAAAGGUCCCGGGAAUGUGGCUCCUUCACGGGAGUGUUAUAGCCCGGGUGAAUGCCGCCAGCUUCGACCGAGGACCGCACCCGCAAGGGUUAGGAUGCUUGGCAUAAUGGUCUUCAGCGAC
RNAcentral lists this ribosomal RNA (446 nucleotides) under Morchella purpurascens. RNAcentral describes it as "partial large subunit ribosomal RNA". It matches the Rfam family "Eukaryotic large subunit ribosomal RNA", at positions 192 to 648 of the family's 3401-position model. Lineage: Eukaryota; Fungi; Ascomycota; Pezizomycetes; Pezizales; Morchellaceae. The record is from RNAcentral.